UGUUCUUUAUUACAGAAUGGAAGAAAAUUCAGAAUAGAUGUUAAAUGCUGUACAAUUUAAUUUUCGUUUCGGACAGUGUAUUAUUAACAAACGACAAAACAAUUGUUCCUAUAUCAUUAGCCCAUGUAGACGUCCCCAUUUCUGAUCUAAGUAUUAAUAUAGUGUAUUAGGCAAGCAUGUUGUCUGCUAUGAUGUAUUUGUAGGAGCCAAUGUUGUAAAUGCAUUUUGGGCUGUCACCAGGUGGGGGCAGUGUGUGCACAGAGGGGUUAAAAACAGGUGUUUCUUACAGGUAGCGGAAGUUGACUUGGUUGAAGGGGACAGUUUUUUUUUUUUUUUUACCACACAGAAACUAUAAGAGCAACACACUGGAUAUCAACUUUCUUUCUUCAAGGAUUGUACAUAUAUGCUUGCAUUAUGUUCAAUAAAGUAGAUAAGUUAAAAUCUACUACGAAGGUCUUUUGGUGUGCGUAAAGCGUGCGCGUUUUAUCCAAGCCAUCAGCAGCUAUAGGAGCUGCUGGAACAAAAGUAAAAACUAGUUCCCGUUGGAUCACUGAGCGGCGCUCGCUUUGUUCAAGUUCUCAACGUGGAAACAGGACGGAUGACAAUUAAGGAAGGCUGGUGGGUGCUGCUUAAUAUGUUUAAAGGCUUCAUGCAAUGAAAUUUGAAGUUUGAACCAAACAGAGACAUUCUGUGCUGCUGAUUCCUUCUGGUGGUGUUGUUGCUCAUGGAUAAAAAGGAGAAAUCAGACUCUGAAAUGGCUACUGGUAUUGAUGGUGGAAAGAUUGUUACUGAAGAGGUUGCAAAUGAUGACGUUACUGCUGUUGAUGAAAAAGAGUCACAAAACAGAGUGAGAAAAAUGACUGCAAAGUGGGUUGCUCUGCUCUUUGAAAGUUUGCAGACAACUAGAAAACAGAAGUUAAGUCAAAUAAAUAAAACCAAACAAAAGGUGAAUGAUCUAAUUUCUCUCAAAAUCGCAAGUGAAACUAUACCAGAUGUGGAAAAGCAAAUGAAGAGGUUUGAUAAAUAUUGUAAAGAGGCUGAACACAAUUCAAUUGUUGAAAUGCCUAUGUCUCCGAAUGAGUCUGACAAGCAGAAGGAAUGGUUUAAUGCCAAAAUGGCUGAAAAUCUGCAUUUUUCCAAAGAUAUCAGUGAAUGGGUGUCUGAUACUGGAAAAUCAUUGAAUGUGGAUAAAAUCUGUGACACCUCAUCUACAACAAGCAGUGAAAUAGGACCUGAUGAUAGUAUUUCAAAUGUAUCCACAAAACAAUCCCAUCACAGCAAAGCAUCGAAAGGUUCAACUACUACUUCAAGUACAACUUCUUCUGCACGAAUAAAGGCUGUGGCAGAAAAGGCUGCAUUAUUACAACAUAGUGCUGCUAUGGAGAAGAGACAUGUCUUGGUGGAGGAAGAAAAGCUUCACAUUUCAAAGUGAAAGACUAAAAAGACAAAAGAAACAACUCCUAAUGAAUGCAAAAAUAGCAGCCAGUGAUGCAAAGUUUUAAGAACCAGUGAUGUUGGAAUUGGAAAAAAAGGCAUCGUCCAAUGAUUUAAAAUGUAAAAAAUCACACUCAUUGAAUCACAAUUUGCAAGUAGAGCUGCCUGGGAAUUCUACUCAAACUGCAAUGCAAUGUUUAACUAUACAACAAGUUGCAGGCACACAGGAUGGUACAACUGCUGUUCAAAGUAAUCCAGUCUCUAAUUCUCAAUCACAGAUUCAUUCUUCACAAUCUUAUUCUCAAACUGGACAAGAUAUUUUGUAUAACAUUAUGCAGCAGCAAGCAAAUAUAACAGCUCAGCUUGUUCAUUGGGGGGAUGUGGCAUCUGCUUUACCUCCUCGAGUAAUUCCAAUUUUCGAUGGAGAUCCAUUACAAUUUGCUGCCUUUAUUCAAGCCUUUGAGCAUGGAAUUGAAAGAAAGACCACAGAUGCACAGGAUUGUUUGUACUAUUUAGAACAGUACACUAGAGGACAACCGAGAGAGUUGGUCAGAAGCUGCCAGCAUAUGCCGGCACAACAAGGGUUCAGCAAAGCCAAAAAUUUGUUGAAGGAACAUUUUUGUCAUGAGUUAAAAAUCACUGCAGCCUACAUGGAAAAGGCUUUGGAUUGGACUACAAUAAAACUUGAUGACAUUAAAGGGCUGCAAGCAUAUGCUUUGUUUCUGAGAGGGUAUUGCAAUGUGAUGGUAAACUUGCAGUAUAUGGAUGAGAUUAAUGUUUCAUCGAACCUUAAGAACAUCAUGAUGAAACUGCCUUACCGACUCAGGGAAAAAUGGAGUCAUAGUCUGCAAGUUACAAGAACAGAAUGGCUGUAGGGUCAAGUUUACAGACAUGGUGGAUUUUAUUGAACAUCAGAUAAAGAUUCUCACGGAUCCUCUCUUUGGAGAUAUUAAAGAUACACAACCAAACAUGUCCUAUAAAGUCAAAUCUGUACCUUACAGUGGUAGAGGGUGAAGUUCAGCUACAGUGGCUAAGAUUUUCAGCCUAAAGUACAUCCAUCACAGCAUAGUUCUUCAUCUUGCUGCUAUGCAUGCAAAGAAAAUCAUGUUUUUGAAAAAGCCCUCUAAUUCAGAAAAUGACUCACAGACAAAGGAUUUAAUUUUUGAAGAAUCAUGGAAUUUGCUUUGCCUGUUUAAAUUUGGACAUCUUAGCAAAGAUUGUACAAGUCGGCAUAUUUGUGGUGUGUGUAGUCAGAAGCAUCUUAUUAUAUUGCACAUCUCAGCUAAGAGUAAACCCUUUGAGGAGAAACAAUUGAGUAAUGCUCUUGUUACUUUGUAGACCUAUGCUCAUACUGGAGCCAGAGAACAAGAUUGUUCAUUGUCCACUGUGCCAGUUCAGGUCAGGUCUAAGUUUGGAGACUUUACAGUAACAACAUAUGCUUUCUUGGAUCCAGGGAGUAGAGCCACUUUUGGUACUGAAGGGCUUAUACGGAAGCUGAAGAUGACUAGGACAAGAAGGUGCAUAUUGCUUCGAACAAUGGGACAUGAAAAUGUGGUAAACACAUCUGUGCUCACUGGACUGGAGCAUCUGUGCUCCCUUCAUAUUUAUAUAUAUGAAGCUGUUUGGAAGAGAUCUGACAGAUGAAGCUGUUUGGAUGCUGGGCAAGUAUAAUCAGGUUCCCAUUCAUCCGCACCUCCUGCAUGUUGUACAUGAUGUAGUGUGUGUCAUUGCCCUUGUAGAACAUUUCAUCCGUCAGGAUGGUUAUGUUGUUAUUCUGCUUGGAAAAACAAAAUACAAUUAUUUUCUUUUUUUGGGCAAAAGCUUGGUUGUCUGAUUCUUUGAAUUUUUUCAACCCUUGGACAUGAUGGAAAAAUACAAUUCAGUGAAUAACCAUAAUAGUGUAGCAAAUACUUUUCACAGCACCACUACUAUGUAGUCUUAACAUUUUUUUCGGGUUAUAAAUUGCAGUAUAAAAUUUAGUAUUAAAUUAUAUUAUAAGAAUGGUGAAUAAUUGUGCAAGGGACUGUACAUCAUCUGUGAAGUACUUUAUGCUUCAAGGAAUAAAAAAUAACAGUGUGCUGUGUCAAUUUGA
Molecule: long non-coding RNA, 3526 nt
Organism: Tachysurus fulvidraco (yellow catfish)
Lineage: Eukaryota; Metazoa; Chordata; Actinopteri; Siluriformes; Bagridae
Exons: 2
Source: RefSeq, a predicted model, not a curated record